UACCGGCGGCCCGAGUGGCGGUAACUAUUAUUGGGCCUAAAGCGUCCGUAGCCGGGUUGGGAAGUCCUCCGGGAAAUCUGGCCGCUUAACGGUCAGAAUGCCGGAGGAUACUCCCAGCCUAGGGAGCGGGAGAGGCCGAGGGUAUUCCCGGAGUAGGGGUGAAAUCCUAUAAUCCCGGGAGGACCACCUGUGGCGAAGGCGCUCGGCUGGAACGCGUCCGACGGUGAGGGACGAAGGCCAGGGGAGCAAACCGG
This 254-nucleotide ribosomal RNA is filed under the name uncultured microorganism. RNAcentral describes it as "partial 16S ribosomal RNA". It matches the Rfam family "Archaeal small subunit ribosomal RNA", at positions 474 to 727 of the family's 1478-position model. The record is from RNAcentral.